GUGAAGAGGUCAGCUCUGCUAGUAGUCGGUCGUGAGGCCGGCGAACGCGGGGCUGGGCUUGGAGCGACCUUUGAGAACGGACCUCAGAUCAG
This 92-nucleotide ribosomal RNA is filed under the name Strobilomyces confusus. RNAcentral describes it as "partial 28S ribosomal RNA". Lineage: Eukaryota; Fungi; Basidiomycota; Agaricomycetes; Boletales; Boletaceae. The record is from RNAcentral.